GGACCCUGACGGAGCAGCCAGGGCUCCCAGCUACGGGCCUCCUGGAAGUGCUACCUGGGUUUCCUAGGAAGCCAGCGGAGCCAGCGGGCUUACGAGAUUUUAUAAGAAAAGCCGGUGGGCUCCGAGACAAAGUUAAAAAGCUGCAAGUGUCCCCCACGAACUUCUGGAUCUCCUGUAUCCCCAGCAGACCCUCACCUCCCUGCCUCUGAGGUCAGAGGCCACCUUGAACAGUGGGUCCAAGGAGAGGCACCCGAGGCCCUGCCGAGCAGCACCCCUCUGCCUCACCCAGUAGGCGGAAAGCGAGGGUGAGACGGAGCCCAUGGGUGACAUCGACAGCUGAGAGGGACAGACGCGGGCUCUUUUCAGGAAAUUAAGUAUGAAUCAAAGCUCAGCAACGUGCAUCCAUAUGGAAUUUCGGAGCCUUUAUGUCCACUGCAGAAUUUAACAAAGCUGAGAACACCAAGAAGAAACAACACCCCAAUAGCAAUGUGCACAGCUAGAAGCAAGAUCUUGGUUAGUGAACUGGGCUUCUAGAAGAAAUUGCUGACUUCAGUGCCACAGCAGGAAGUAAGCAAGAUGAGCCUGGAUCAGAAAGACUCAUCAGACUCUUGGUUUCAGCUCAGGUCACGAUCCCACGGGUUGUGAGAUCAAG
Molecule: long non-coding RNA, 652 nt
Organism: Lynx canadensis (Canada lynx)
Lineage: Eukaryota; Metazoa; Chordata; Mammalia; Carnivora; Felidae
Exons: 6
Source: RefSeq, a predicted model, not a curated record